UUGCAACAAACAUCUAGAAUCUGUUACAAUUUUCACGGUCUUGAAGCUAGUUGUGUCACACGCUCUUUGUCAGCUUUGUUAUCUUUAAUCAAAGAUACGUGUGUAAUGUAUCGAUUUGCGUGACGCAUGUAAGGUGAAUACGCUCGCUCGAAGAUAUAUAUGCAAAGAAAUAUAAACUUCAUUAUUUACACCGAUCCGUCGCGAUGCCUGCGUAUCAUUCAAGCUUCGUCGAGAACAAUGGAAACGUCGGAAAUAUGGCACUUCUGCCAAUUAGAACUCAUUUUAGGGGUCCUGCGCCACCCUUGAACAAUAAAGAUCUAGAUAUAAUUGAUGAAGCAUUAUAUUUCUUUAAAGCGAAUGUGUUUUUUAGGACGUAUGAAAUUAAGAGUGAAGCAGACAGGGUUUUAAUUUAUAUCACGCUGUACAUAACGGAAUGCUUGAAAAGAUUGCAGAAAUGUGCAACUCAGGCUCAAGCAACAAAUGAAAUGUAUUCUCUUGCUAUUUCGAAAUUUGACAUUCCUGGUGAUUCUGGUUUUCCUUUAAAUUCUGUAUACGCGAAACCAAGUAAUCCUGUGGAAGCAGAUACUAUGAGGCAAUAUUUGCAACAAAUGAGACAAGAAACAGGCGUUAGACUUGUAGAGAAAGUAUAUGGUGAAGAUGGUAAACCGAGUAAAUGGUGGCUAUGUUUUGCAAAGAAAAAAUUCAUGGAUAAAUCGUUAUCUGGCCCUGGACAAUGAAAUAUAUAUUUUUUAACGCUAUUUUUAAAAAUACGCAUAAUGGAUAAACACAGAAAUUUAUUGUACAGGAUUACAGGAGUUCUAAUAUUCCUUGAAAUUAGAAAGACGAAAAAUUGGAUAGGAUAGACAUGAUAUCAUAUGGGACUUCCUAUCUGAUUUUGAACUUUGGAAAUAGUUCAAUGUUUCUUAUGCCCUAAUCUAAUAGUUAACACAUCUUAUAAAUAAGAAACAAUAUUAUGCGACAAGGAAAGAAGUUAAUGUCAGUUUUAUUGUGAUAAUGUUUCAGUAUUCCACGAAUUGAACAAUUUUUAUUUAAAAAAAAGCUAAUUA
This is an RNA transcript of Frieseomelitta varia, 1067 nucleotides long. It is a transcript of the gene named actin-related protein 2/3 complex subunit 3-like, with no coding region annotated. Lineage: Eukaryota; Metazoa; Arthropoda; Insecta; Hymenoptera; Apidae. The record is from RefSeq and is a predicted model, not a curated record. The transcript has 5 exons.